RNAcentral lists this ribosomal RNA (1343 nucleotides) under uncultured bacterium. RNAcentral's name for it is "16S ribosomal RNA". It matches the Rfam family "Bacterial small subunit ribosomal RNA", at positions 28 to 1378 of the family's 1533-position model. The record is from RNAcentral.
GACGAACGCUGGCGGCGUGCUUAACACAUGCAAGUCGAACGGAAAGGCCCUGCUUUUGUGGGGUGCUCGAGUGGCGAACGGGUGAGUAACACGUGAGUAACCUGCCCUUGACUUUGGGAUAACUUCAGGAAACUGGGGCUAAUACCGGAUAGGAGCUCCUGCUGCAUGGUGGGGGUUGGAAAGUUUCGGCGGUUGGGGAUGGACUCGCGGCUUAUCAGCUUGUUGGUGGUGUAGUGGCUUACCAAGGCUUUGACGGGUAGCCGGCCUGAGAGGGUGACCGGCCACAUUGGGACUGAGAUACGGCCCAGACUCCUACGGGAGGCAGCAGUGGGGAAUAUUGCACAAUGGGCGGAAGCCUGAUGCAGCAACGCCGCGUGCGGGAUGACGGCCUUCGGGUUGUAAACCGCUUUCGCCUGUGACGAAGCGUGAGUGACGGUAAUGGGUAAAGAAGCACCGGCUAACUACGUGCCAGCAGCCGCGGUGAUACGUAGGGUGCGAGCGUUGUCCGGAUUUAUUGGGCGUAAAGGGCUCGUAGGUGGUUGAUCGCGUCGGAAGUGUAAUCUUGGGGCUUAACCCUGAGCGUGCUUUCGAUACGGGUUGACUUGAGGAAGGUAGGGGAGAAUGGAAUUCCUGGUGGAGCGGUGGAAUGCGCAGAUAUCAGGAGGAACACCAGUGGCGAAGGCGGUUCUCUGGGCCUUUCCUGACGCUGAGGAGCGAAAGCGUGGGGAGCGAACAGGCUUAGAUACCCUGGUAGUCCACGCUGUAAACGGUGGGUACUAGGUGUGGGGUCCAUUCCACGGGUUCCGUGCCGUAGCUAACGCUUUAAGUACCCCGCCUGGGGAGUACGGCCGCAAGGCUAAAACUCAAAGGAAUUGACGGGGCCCCGCACAAGCGGCGGAGCAUGCGGAUUAAUUCGAUGCAACGCGUAGAACCUUACCUGGGUUUGACAUGGAUCGGGAGCGCUCAGAGAUGGGUGUGCCUCUUUUGGGGUCGGUUCACAGGUGGUGCAUGGCUGUCGUCAGCUCGUGUCGUGAGAUGUUGGGUUAAGUCCCGCAACGAGCGCAACCCUUGUUCACUGUUGCCAGCACGUUAUGGUGGGGACUCAGUGGAGACCGCCGGGGUCAACUCGGAGGAAGGUGGGGAUGACGUCAAGUCAUCAUGCCCCUUAUGUCCAGGGCUUCACGCAUGCUACAAUGGCUGGUACAGAGAGUGGCGAGCCUGUGAGGGUGAGCGAAUCUCGGAAAGCCGGUCUCAGUUCGGAUUGGGGUCUGCAACUCGACCUCAUGAAGUCGGAGUCGCUAGUAAUCGCAGAUCAGCAACGCUGCGGUGAAUACGUUCCCGGG